ACGGAAGGCAGCAGUGGGGUAUAUUGCACAAUGGGGGAAACCCUGAUGCAGCGACGCCGCGUGAGUGAAGAAGUAUUUCGGUAUGUAAAGCUCUAUCAGCAGGAAAGAUAAUGACGGUACCUGACUAAGAAGCACCGGCUAAAUACGUGCCAGCAGCCGCGGUAAUACGUAUGGGGCAAGCGUUAUCCGGAUUUACUGGGUGUAAAGGGCGUGUAGGCGGGACAUCAAGUCAGAUGUGAAAGCACGAGGCUCAACUUCGUGUCUGCAUUUGAAACUGACGUUCUUGAGUGUUGGAGAGGCUAACGGAACUCCUAGUGUAGCGGUGAAAUGCGUAGAUAUUAGGAAGAACACCAGUGGCGAAGGCGGUUAGCUAGACAAUAACUGACGCUGAGGCGCGAAAGCGUGGGUAGCAAACAGGAUUAGAUACCCUGGUA
RNAcentral lists this ribosomal RNA (434 nucleotides) under uncultured Lachnospiraceae bacterium. Its description in RNAcentral is "partial 16S ribosomal RNA". It matches the Rfam family "Bacterial small subunit ribosomal RNA", at positions 341 to 792 of the family's 1533-position model. The record is from RNAcentral. Lineage: Bacteria; Bacillati; Bacillota; Clostridia; Lachnospirales; Lachnospiraceae.